RNAcentral lists this non-coding RNA (260 nucleotides) under Paenibacillus wynnii. RNAcentral describes it as "T-box sequence". It matches the Rfam family "T-box leader". From Rfam's summary of the family: Uncharged tRNA acts as the effector for transcription antitermination of genes in the T-box leader family. T-boxes are found upstream of many aminoacyl-tRNA synthetase genes and some amino acid biosynthetic genes usually in Gram-positive bacteria. The anticodon of a specific tRNA base pairs to a specifier sequence within the T-box motif, and the NCCA acceptor tail of the tRNA base pairs to a conserved bulge in the T-box antiterminator hairpin. The record is from RNAcentral. Lineage: Bacteria; Bacillati; Bacillota; Bacilli; Caryophanales; Paenibacillaceae.
UAUUUAUCGUUGAUGAGGAGCAUUAAUUUCGAAAUCGUCAAUACAGAGAGCCGGCGCUAGGUGCGAGCCGGUUGGCGGAACGGAAUGAACUCACCUCGGAGUAACGGCGCAAAUGUUGCAGAAUCCGUCAAUACGGAACCCUGCUGGUUGAACGCCGUCGCCUCACCCCCGUUAAAGGGUGCAAAGUGAGUGGCAGAUCAAAGUAUGUUCAGCCGCUAACUAGGGUGGUACCACGGGAAUUUAAACCUCUCGUCCCUAGC